This 247-nucleotide ribosomal RNA is filed under the name uncultured Actinomycetes bacterium. RNAcentral's name for it is "uncultured actinobacterium partial 16S ribosomal RNA". It matches the Rfam family "Bacterial small subunit ribosomal RNA", at positions 30 to 276 of the family's 1533-position model. The record is from RNAcentral. Lineage: Bacteria; Bacillati; Actinomycetota; Actinomycetes.
AUUGAACGCUGGCGGCAGGCCUAACACAUGCAAGUCGAGCGGUAAGGCCCUUUCGGGGGUACACGAGCGGCGAACGGGUGAGUAACACGUGGGUGACCUGCCCUUAGCUCUGGGAUAAGCCUGGGAAACUGGGUCUAAUACCGGAUAUGACUCCAUGACGCAUGUUGUGGGGUGGAAAGCCUUGUGCGGCUGGGGAUGGGCCCGCGGCCUAUCAGCUUGUUGGUGGGGUGAUGGCCUACCAAGGCGA